This is a long non-coding RNA of Alligator sinensis (Chinese alligator), 474 nucleotides long. RefSeq lists it as uncharacterized. The record is from RefSeq and is a predicted model, not a curated record. Lineage: Eukaryota; Metazoa; Chordata; Crocodylia; Alligatoridae. The transcript has 3 exons.
UAUCAGCCUUAGCGAUGUGCUCCAGCGCCUCGUUAAUUUUCUGCGCCGCCAUCGCGUAGGGGCUGGGCAGGGGCCGCAGCCGCUGCGCCACCUACGUCAAGGAAGGAUGGGGAAACUGAGGCAUAAUACCCAAGGCAACACAGAAAAAUCACUAAGAGAACCAAGACCAUAACCACCCUGAUGUUUGCAGGGGUGCUGGAAGGAGCAGAUGCUAGACACUCACUUGGGGUUCACCACAGUCCCUGUCCCUGGAUUCAAGAACAGAGAGAUGGAUCAGAACCUGGAUUUCUGGAAAGCAAAUGUCUAAUCCUUCACACACACCGCCUCCUCAUGCCCACUCUCCUGCUGUCACCAGACCCACAGUUGCCAAAACCAUGUUUUGUUCAAUGGCCCAUAGUAUUUAAAAGUCUUGCAACAUGCAGAUGAUGUAACUGUAAAGCUCACUUAAGACAUCAAUAAAAAAAACAAUCAAUA